AGCGCGCGUAUCUCAUGGCCCAACUACUGCUCAGGGCGCAGUCUGCUCGUCAGGCUUUCUGCUGCGCGCCCUUGGGGUCAAGUUCGCGAACGGCCGCAGUGUUGGCAACCCUUUUUUCUUUUUUCAUACUAUCUAUGCUGAGAUUGAGGGGGCCGUUUUGUCACAGAAGUUCAACACAUUUUAGGCUCGUCCCAAACUAGCAAGAUCAGACUUUUAUCAAAUGACUGGAGAAAAGAAGCCGGCACAUGAGCAGUGGAGUACGGGGGUGUGGAAGGAGUGCAUGCAAGACUUUGGGGUAAAAACUCGGACCCAAAUCAGACACUACAUAGAAUGAGGUGGAGGAUCGGAUCGAGUCAACCCAAUGAGUUCAAGCACUCCCCGUGUGAACUAUCAGGUCCUGAAUGCUAGAACCUGGCGUCCAGAAGUGCCAGUUGAGGCCAGGCAGCUUGAAAAAACCCGAGAGGAGAGCACAGGCCAGAGCCAUAUCAACAAAAUAGACCCACUGAAUGAUUUCAUUUGCUUUUAUG
Long non-coding RNA from Bos taurus (domestic cattle), 527 nucleotides. Lineage: Eukaryota; Metazoa; Chordata; Mammalia; Artiodactyla; Bovidae. The record is from Ensembl.